ACCGGCGCACGGUGAGUAACGCGUAUCCAACCUUCCCAUGACCAGGGAAUAACCCUUGCGAAAGUAGACUAAUGCCCUAUGGUUUCCUCAGCGGACAUCCAAAGAGGAAUAAAGAUUCAUCGGUGAUGGAUGGGGAUGCGUCUGAUUAGCUUGUUGCGGGGUAACGGCCCACCAAGGCUACGAUCAGUAGGGGUUCUGAGAGGAAGGUCCCCCACAUUGGAACUGAGACACGGUCCAAACUCCUACGGGAGGCAGCAGUGAGGAAUAUUGGUCAAUGGGCGAGAGCCUGAACCAGCCAAGUAGCGUGCAGGAUGACGGCCCUAUGGGUUGUAAACUGCUUUUAUAAGGGAAUAAAGUGAGUCUCGUGAGACUUUUUGCAUGUACCUUAUGAAUAAGGACCGGCUAAUUCCGUG
This 413-nucleotide ribosomal RNA is filed under the name uncultured bacterium. RNAcentral's name for it is "bacterial SSU rRNA". It matches the Rfam family "Bacterial small subunit ribosomal RNA", at positions 94 to 507 of the family's 1533-position model. The record is from RNAcentral.